This 254-nucleotide unclassified non-coding RNA is filed under the name uncultured fungus. RNAcentral's name for it is "sequence contains ITS2". The record is from RNAcentral. Lineage: Eukaryota; Fungi.
AACGCACAUUGCGCCCAUCAGUAUUCUGUUGGGCAUGCCUGUUCGAGCGUCAUUUCCACCCUCAAGCCCUAGCUGCUUGGUGUUGGGGUGCUCUACAGCCUGCUGUAGGCCCCGAAAAUCAGUGGCGGUCUCACUGGGACUCCGAGCGUAGUAGAUCUCUCUCGCUUAGGGGCGACCGGUGGGUUUCCAGCCGUUAAAUCCCCCAAAUCUUAAAGGUUGACCUCGGAUCAGGUAGGAAUACCCGCUGAACUUAA